GUGAUUCCUUGGCAGCACAUAUACUAAAAUUGGAACAAUACAGACAAGAUUAGCAUGGUCUCUGCACAUGGAUGGCAUGCAAACAAAAGAAGAAAGAAUCUC
This 102-nucleotide small nuclear RNA is filed under the name Jaculus jaculus (lesser Egyptian jerboa). The record is from RNAcentral. Lineage: Eukaryota; Metazoa; Chordata; Mammalia; Rodentia; Dipodidae.